ACGAACGAGGUUGGUGCAGUGAUUGCGUAGGCUCAGGCCUUGCCGAAGGUGCCGUCAGGGUGACCGACGUGUCCCAGGGCGUCCGCCGGAGGCAGAGCCGUACUCCUCGCGAGCACGGACCAGCAGCGGUUGGAGUGGGGCCAGAAGGCCGUMGGGACGGUGUGUCGGGUCGGGCUUGCUCGCUCGACAACUUACAGCCCGGCGAGCCGGCGCYCCAGUUCGACCGAGGAAGRAGGGCAGCUCUUGCCCGUCUGUGGUGCACGCCGUAUGGCGGGGCCUCCCGUCGAGGGCGAGCGGUGCGGUGUUGACUGCUUGCAGUGCUCACUGUCACAGCGGACCCACGGUCGGAGAGUGUCACUUGU
RNAcentral lists this unclassified non-coding RNA (362 nucleotides) under Demospongiae sp. GW41322. RNAcentral's name for it is "sequence contains 28S rRNA gene". Lineage: Eukaryota; Metazoa; Porifera; Demospongiae. The record is from RNAcentral.